UGGUGUUAAGUUGUCUGUAUAGUUAAAAUGUCUGUCUUUUUUUAUUGACCCAAUAAACUGAUAGACCAAAUGAAUAUAUAGUGUACAUGUGAUUUUCAGCACCCUGGUGUUUUCGAAAAUUGAUUCAAUGUGCAAUGAACAAAAAAAAUGAGUAAAACUCUUAAUAAUGUAAUUGGUUGAUGUAAUCGAAAUUGGACAGUAUUGGUUAACUGAAAAGUAACCAAUCAAAUUUAAUUGAUCAUCCACGUGUAUCUCAUAAUCGACUUAUUGAUAUAAUGGUUCUCCAAGUUAUCUAUACUUUUUGUCUGCGCUAUCACUUCGGUGGAAGCGGACGUAAAAUACAACUAACUAAGAAGAAGUAUCUAUACUUUAGUCAUUGCGACAAAUUCUUUCUUUGAUAUUAUAUCAGCGACAUUCAGUUAGAUGUAGUGACGUUAGCAUCAACAGAGUGCUUUAGCCGUGAUAUUUUUUUAAAAAAAAAUUAUAAUGGUCACAUAGAAUACCAGACCGCAGGUUUGUAAAUUUUUACAAAAAAUAAAACCGUGUAUUUAAUUUAGCAUGUAUAUAUUGCUUCUAUGUAUAUAAUAAUUCGUUUCGUUUAAAACAGUCAGAUUUAGAACCACUGCCACUGACUGCACCGGAAUUCUAUUUAUAUAAUGGCGCCACAAAGAAAUUUUUUUUGAUGUGUUCUAAAAGUGUUCCGCUAAUUCAGCAAUCUAAUGAAUCUGUCUUAAUUUUUCUGAAAUCGUGCUUAAUUAUUAUUAGCUAAUCGGCGCUACACCGUUGUUCAAAUACUUAUAAUUGCAAGAAACCCCCGACUAGGACCAGCAGGUAAGAAUCUGUCUUGAUUUUAUAGUAAUGCCCGGUUGCAAUUAUUGGCCGCCAUCUUUGAUUUUUAUAGACGUUCGGGCCAAAAAAAAGGAGAAAUGUAUAUCCAGACAUGGACUAUAGCUAGAUACUAACUUUUGUGUUAGUUGUUUAUUUGAAAUGUAAUCUUAAUAUUUCUGUAAAAGAAAAAAACAACAACAAACAAAUCAGCCUUUUUUUUUACAUCAAUGUCAUCAAUGUGUAGGCCUAAUAAUUAGACUUUCAAUGAUUCAGAAGUUUCUCUACAGUUUCGUUAUUUUUUUUCCAGUCAUUGAUGUUAGCAUGUACUACACAAAGAAAAACAGUUUCCAUAUUAGAUGCCAUAGCAAAUCAAAGAUCAUAUAAUAAAAUAAGUCAAAAAACCCAAAUAUGGGAAAAAAAGAGCUGAAGAAAUGGUGAUUUGAGCACCUAUGAUUUCUCAUAGUUGUUUUUUGAGGAAAGAUCAAGACAGUUGAAAAUGGCUAUUCAUAUUAUGGAAACUUUUUCUCACAGAGCUUGAUAAUCAGGUAAAAUGCUGGAAGAUUAUUUGAUGUAUGAUAACAACAAGAGAUCCCAAGCAUCAAUUUAUUUUAAAAUUCUGGAAAAGAAUGCAUUUGACCCAAUUUUUGAAUAUUUAUUUUUUGUUUUUACUGUUAAAUAUUCUUCCCAAACACAAUUAGAUUUUAAUUCUCUACAGAAAUUUAUGUAUAAUAUAGAAUGUAAAGUGACAUAUUAAUCACUUAGAAUUUGGUCGGAAAUCAUAAAGUAUUUAAUAGGCAUAAUCUAGAAACCAAAUGUAGAUCAAAUAUACCCAGAAUUACAAAAAACCUUGACCUACAUUAAGGUGACUUUCCCUUGCUUAUGAAAUGAAAUAGGGUUUAAGAUCCUACUUUUCUGUGUUAAUAUGGUGAUUCUGCCCUACAACCUACUCUUAUAUCAAAUAUUUCAACUGUCAAGGGUUGUUUAAAGGGAACCCAGGAGGGCCGAAUGGUUAACACACGCACAUUGGAUCAGAAGGUCUGUCAUUGAGUCAGAUAAUUCAAUUGUCAAGGGUUCUUUAAAGUAAACGCAGUGGGGAUAGUUUCAAUUCCGGGCUUAUACCCAAUUAUCCCUUGCCAUGUCCUACACUACUGACGUGUGGGAACUAUGUCGGAAAAUCCAAUUGAAAUUUCUCGGCCAAUGCCUUAUACUCACUGAACCACAGUGACUCCUCCUUGCUUUUGACUUGUGAUUAUUUAUAUAUAUUUUGUACAUAUUAUUUAAUGUUUGCGAUUUUCUCUGAUAUUUUUUUAUUUUUCAAUCCUGUAAUCUUGAUGCUUUGCUCCUUUUAUGUACAAAAUAUUCAUUUUGUUUGUUGUUUUUUUUAAUGAGGAAAAGGUUCUACAUCAUUUUAUUACUCCUGCAAAAUAGUGCAUUUUUCUUUUGUUAGUUUUCUGUGUAUGCUAGUUAUUUCUAGAUGCCUCACAAAUCACUUGUAAUAUGACUUUGUAGCACUUUUCAGUUUCUGAAAGUAUUUCAAUUUAGUGCAUAAUUAAUCUAAUUAGGGCUUAG
Patella vulgata (common limpet) is the source of this 2397-nucleotide long non-coding RNA. RefSeq lists it as uncharacterized. The record is from RefSeq and is a predicted model, not a curated record. The transcript is spliced from 4 exons. NCBI's taxonomy places the organism in Eukaryota, Metazoa, Mollusca, Gastropoda, Patellidae.